Molecule: long non-coding RNA, 247 nt
Filed under: Carica papaya (papaya)
Lineage: Eukaryota; Viridiplantae; Streptophyta; Magnoliopsida; Brassicales; Caricaceae
Description: long non-coding RNA (CPAP_LNC003716)
Source: RNAcentral
AGGCCGUCCGCGAGCCCGUCUGUGCAAGAUGCACGCGUUCAGCCCGUGGACCUGUGCGCGCGCAGCUGGUUUUGCGCGGGCCUAGAGGGUCGCGUGUAUAUGUGCUUUCGGGCACUUGUACGCACGAUCCAUGGACGUUCAGGAGUCGUGCGGGCUAGGCCAUAUGUCCAGCACAUGUGUGGGCCUCCAAAUCUCUACUUCGAGAAGGUUGCAUUCUCCAGUUUUCCUGCAGAGUAAAAGGUCGCUC